CCCACUGCAUGUGUAGAAUGUCUUACUAUUUGCCAUAACACGCAAUUAAUACAACUUUCAACAACGGAUCUCUUGGCUCUCGCAUCGAUGAAGAACGCAGCGAAAUGCGAUACGUAAUGUGAAUUGCAGAAUUCAGUGAAUCAUCGAAUCUUUGAACGCACCUUGCGCCCCUUGGAAUUCCGAGGGGCACACCCGUUUGAGUGUCGUGAAUAUCCUUCAACCUUUCUUGGUUUCUCGAUCAAGGAAGGCUUGGACUUUGGGGGUUUUUGCCGGCCUCUCUUGAAGCCAGCUCCUCCUAAAUGGAUUAGUGGGGUCUGCUUUGCUGAUCCUUGACGUGAUAAUAUCCUUCUACGUCUUGGGUUUCGCACUUUGGACUCUGCUUCUAACCGUUGUUGCAUCAUGAACCUUGACCUCAAAUCGGGUGGGACUACCCGCUGAACUUAAGCAUAUCAAUAAGCGGAGGAAAAGAAACUAACAAGGAUUCCCCUAGUAACUGCGAGUGAAGCGGGAAAAGCUCAAAUUU
RNAcentral lists this ribosomal RNA (523 nucleotides) under Russula sp. BAAC581. Its description in RNAcentral is "eukaryotic LSU rRNA". The stretch from base 53 to 206 matches the Rfam family "5.8S ribosomal RNA". The record is from RNAcentral. Lineage: Eukaryota; Fungi; Basidiomycota; Agaricomycetes; Russulales; Russulaceae.